AUUGAACGCUGGCGGCAGGCCUAACACAUGCAAGUCGAACGGUAACAGGAAGCAGCUUGCUGCUUUGCUGACGCGUGGCGGACGGGUGUGUCAUGUCUGGGAAACUGCCUGAUGGCGGGGGAUAACUACUGGAAACGGUAGCUAAUACCGCAUAACGUCGCAAGACCAAAGAGGGGGACCUUCGGGCCUCUUGCCAUCGGCUGUGCCCAGAUGGGAUUAGCUAGUAGGUGGGGUAACGGCUCACCUAGGCGACGAUCCCUAGCUGGUCUGAGAGGAUGACCAGCCACACUGGAACUGAGACACGGUCCAGACUCCUACGGGAGGCAGCAGUGGGGAAUAUUGCGCAAUGGGCGCAAGCCUGAUGCAGCAACGCCGCGUGUAUGAAGAAGGCCUUCGGGUUGUAAAGUACUUUCAGCGGGGAGGAAGGGAGUAAAGUUAAUACCUGUGCUCAUUGACGUUACCCGAAGAAGAAGCACCGGCUAACUCCGUG
This 490-nucleotide ribosomal RNA is filed under the name uncultured bacterium. RNAcentral's name for it is "partial 16S ribosomal RNA". It matches the Rfam family "Bacterial small subunit ribosomal RNA", at positions 30 to 507 of the family's 1533-position model. The record is from RNAcentral.